AACGCGAAGAACCUUACCUACUCUUGACAUCCAGAGAACUUAGCAGAGAUGCUUUGGUGCCUUCGGGAACUCUGAGACAGGUGCUGCAUGGCUGUCGUCAGCUCGUGUUGUGAAAUGUUGGGUUAAGUCCCGCAACGAGCGCAACCCUUAUCCUUUGUUGCCGGCGAUUCGGUCGGGAACUCAAAGGAGACUGCCAGUGAUAAACUGGAGGAAGGUGGGGAUGACGUCAAGUCAUCAUGGCCCUUACGAGUAGGGCUACACACGUGCUACAAUGGCAUAUACAAAGAGAAGCGACCUCGCGAGAGCAAGCGGACCUCAUAAAGUAUGUCGUAGUCCGGAUUGGAGUCUGCAACUCGACUCCAUGAAGUCGGAAUCGCUAGUAAUCGUAGAUCAGAAUGCUACGGUGAAUACGUUCCCGGGUCUUGUACACACCG
This 434-nucleotide ribosomal RNA is filed under the name uncultured bacterium. RNAcentral describes it as "bacterial SSU rRNA". It matches the Rfam family "Bacterial small subunit ribosomal RNA", at positions 958 to 1392 of the family's 1533-position model. The record is from RNAcentral.